RNAcentral lists this ribosomal RNA (252 nucleotides) under uncultured Hyphomicrobiales bacterium. RNAcentral's name for it is "uncultured Rhizobiales bacterium partial 16S ribosomal RNA". It matches the Rfam family "Bacterial small subunit ribosomal RNA", at positions 524 to 775 of the family's 1533-position model. The record is from RNAcentral. Lineage: Bacteria; Pseudomonadati; Pseudomonadota; Alphaproteobacteria; Hyphomicrobiales.
UACGAAGGGGGCUAGCGUUGCUCGGAAUCACUGGGCGUAAAGGGCGCGUAGGCGGCUUGCCAAGUCGGGGGUGAAAGCCCGUGGCUCAACCACGGAAUGGCCUUCGAUACUGGCAGGCUUGAGACCGGAAGAGGACAGCGGAACUGCGAGUGUAGAGGUGAAAUUCGUAGAUAUUCGCAAGAACACCAGUGGCGAAGGCGGCUGUCUGGUCCGGUUCUGACGCUGAGGCGCGAAAGCGUGGGGAGCAAACAG